Molecule: ribosomal RNA, 387 nt
Filed under: uncultured bacterium
Lineage: Bacteria
Description: bacterial SSU rRNA
Rfam family: Bacterial small subunit ribosomal RNA
Source: RNAcentral
AUUGAACGCUGGCGGCAUGCUUUACACAUGCAAGUCGAACGGUAACAGGGUGCUUGCACCGCUGACGAGUGGCGAACGGGUGAGUAAUACAUCGGAAUGUACCCAGUAAUGGGGAUAACGCUUCGAAAGGAGUGCUAAUACCGCAUACGCCCUGAGGGGGAAAGUGGGGGACCGCAAGGCCUCACGUUAUUGGAGCAGCCGAUGGCUGAUUAGCUAGUUGGUGAGGUAAAGGCUCACCAAGGCGACGAUCAGUAGCGGGUCUUAGAGGACGAUCCGCCACACUGGAACUGGGACACGGUCCAGACUCCUACGGGAGGCAGCAGUGGGGAAUUUUGGGACAAUGGGCGAAAGCCUGAUCCAGCAAUGCCGCGUGAGUGAAGAAGGCCU